GUUAGGAAUAUUGGACAAUGGGCGCAAGCCUGAUCCAGCCAUGCCGCGUGCAGGAAGACGCAUCUAUGGUGUGUAAACUGCUUUUGUACGGGAAGAAACACUCCCUCGUGAGGGAGCUUGACGGUACCGUAAGAAUAAGGAUCGGCUAACUCCGUGCCAGCAGCCGCGGUAAUACGGAGGAUCCAAGCGUUAUCCGGAAUCAUUGGGUUUAAAGGGUCCGUAGGCGGUUUAAUAAGUCAGUGGUGAAAGCCCAUCGCUCAACGAUGGAACGGCCAUUGAUACUGUUAGACUUGAAUUACAAGGAAGUAACUAGAAUAUGUAGUGUAGCGGUGAAAUGCUUAGAUAUUACAUGGAAUACCAAUUGCGAAGGCAGGUUACUACUUGUGGAUUGACGCUGAUGGACGAAAGCGUGGGGAGCGAACAGGAUUAGAUACCCCAGUAGUCC
This 445-nucleotide ribosomal RNA is filed under the name uncultured bacterium. Its description in RNAcentral is "partial 16S ribosomal RNA". It matches the Rfam family "Bacterial small subunit ribosomal RNA", at positions 354 to 796 of the family's 1533-position model. The record is from RNAcentral.